Molecule: long non-coding RNA, 7231 nt
Filed under: Populus trichocarpa (black cottonwood)
Lineage: Eukaryota; Viridiplantae; Streptophyta; Magnoliopsida; Malpighiales; Salicaceae
Description: long non-coding RNA (PTRI_LNC004452)
Source: RNAcentral
GAUGAUCAAGCUUCACCUAUCAACGUUGAGAAGGAGAUAGUGCUUCCUAAUCUAAAGGUGUUGUCGCUAGAACAAUUAUCAAGUAUUGUCUGUUUUAGUUUCGGAUGGUGUGAUUAUUUCUUAUUCCCUCGUUUGAAGAAGUUGAAGAUCCAUCAAUGUCCAAAGCUGACCACAAAAUUUGCUACUACACCAGAUGGUUCAAUGAGUGCUCAAUCAGAGGUGCUGCUGAUUUGACUUGAUUUCUUGCAUGUCUUCUAGUGUGUUUGUUUCUUGUUUGGCUCAAUAAUAAGAUUUACAAGUUAAAAUGAGCAUGCCAUGCUUGAAUUGGUUUACAGGUAUCUGAAGAUUCAAGCAUUAAUAGAGAGUGGACCAGAAAUAACGGGUGGAAAAAAGUAGAAGAUGAUGAUGAUGAUGAUGAUGGGUCAGAAGAGGAAGAAGAUGAUGGUGAUGAUGAUUGGUAGUCUAAUAAUUGUUUCUUGCCCAAACCAGGUGAUAUAGCUGAAGAUCAUGGAUUGUCUUUGUUCUUCAUGUUUGCAUCAGGCAAGGUUGGUCAGCUGUUACAUGAUUUCAAGGUUGGUGCUGCGGAUAUGUUUUAGAUUGGUGGGAAGUAAUUCCUACUGCUUCAUUGGCAAUGUUGUGUGUUUAGUCAUUACUGUGGGAACCUCAAAAAAAUAAUGUUGCUUGCCCAUCAUCGUACAAGCCUCCAGAACUAAGGCCUGCGUAUGUUUGCUUGCCCAUUUGUGUUUCUUUUGGUUUAAUGUGUGGACUUUCAUGCGUAAGAUGCUGAACUCUUUGUUUGAUGUUCUGUUUCUAAUGCAUAAUGCAUUAUUAAAAAUGUUAUUGUAUGAGCAUGUGAAUAUAUUUGGGCAUUCAAAUCUCAAGAUGACUGAGACUUGAUGCUGAACUCUUUGUUCAAAAGUUUGAUACUGAUAUCAUGUUUUCCUAGCAGAGCAAUCUCUUGUUGAAUGGUUUUUGGAGCAGAUACCUUGCUGGCUUUCGCUAAUUUUCUCUUUUCUUUGUAAUUUUUUGAUGAAUUUCUCUUUUCUUUCUCAACCUCAAGAAUUAAAAUACAAGUAAAAUAAAGUUUUGUAUCAAAAAGUUUCAUUACCAAAAAGAAGAUUUAUCAAAAAUACAAGGCAUGGAGGCGUUGACACAAUUUGUUUUUUUAAGGCCCCCUAUUUUUUUUUUUUUCAUGUUUUAAUUUUUUUUUUCUCAACAAUAUAAUCGAUUUCUUUUUCGUAAAGUCGAGCACCAAACCAAUGGUGCGGCUUUUUAUUUAGUUCUAGAUGCUCAUAUAAAAUUAUCAACUUCAAAUUCCAAUUAACACAGCAUUGAAAGAUUAAUUUUUUUUAAAAAAAAGUAGAUGAUCAAAAGCGAAAAACAAAAGGCAAAGUUGACACUAUUUUUUUUCUUAAAAAAUAGUUUUUUAUUUGUUUCAAUUUUGAUCUUUUCAUUUUCAAUUUCUUAAAAAACAAUAUUUUUUUUUUUUUAAAUUGAGCAUUGUUCUAAUAUCAAGAUGUUUUAUUGAGAGCAAGAUAACUAUAAAAAAGGCAAAUAAAAUACAGUACCCAUCUCAAAUCUUAAUCAAUUCAUCAUCAAAGAUCACUUAAUAAAAAAAGGACAAAAAAAGUGAAAGUAAACAUUGUGUGAAUUCACAAUAUUUCCUCUCGGGGACUAUAUUGUUUCAGCCGAUCUCUUUUAGGUUUCUAUUAAUAUAUUUAUUUAUUUAUUUUUAUAAUGAAUAGGUAAGUUAUAUCUAACUAAUAAUAUAACACAUUGCUACCUACAUCCACAUAUACUAAAAAAAACACUCACUAUAGCCAUAUUAGUAGUUAUUUGACUCGCACUUUACUAUAGAUCAGAAAUGUUUAUUAGCAAAAUAAAUAAAUAUGAAUGCUUUUCAAAUGUAUUUUUAACAAAAAAAAAACCCCUAAUCAUAAAUACAAAAAAAAGGUAUUGACGUGUUUAUUUAACUCGCUUCGCUAUGGGUUAGAUAAUAUUUUCCAACACAAAAGAAUGGAUAUAUAUGUGUUGUUAAUGUAUUUUUUGAUAUCGAGAGAAAAAAAUAUAAUUGUGAAUAAAAAAAGUUGAUGUUUACAUAUAAUAAAAUCAAUUAAGGAUCAUAUAUGUUAAUAAAUACAAAAACAAUUGUUAACGCAACGCACCACAUGUAGGAAGUUAAUUUUUAAUGUAAUAGAAAAAUAGGAUGGUGUUUCAAAUGCAUUUUAUUGUAUCAUGAUUCUCUUAAUUGAGAAAUGUGAAACAAAAUAAAAAAAAGACAAAAAUAUUAUAUUUCAGCCGACCUCUUUUAGGUUUCUAUUAAUAUAUUUAUUUAUUUUAUGUUUUUUUUUAAUAAUGAAUAGGUAAGUUAUAUCUAACUAAUAAUAUAAUGCAUUGCUUCCUACAUCCACAUAUACUAAAAGACUUACUAUAGCCAUAUAAGUAGUUAUUUAACUCGCACUUCGGUAUGGAUCACAAAAUUGUUUUUAGCAAAAAAUAAAUUUGUAUGCUUUUCAAUUGCAUUUUUAACCAAAAACAAAUCCUAAUCAUAAAUACAAAAAAAAAAGUGUUGAUGCAUUUAUUUAAUUCACUUUGCUACGAGUUAGAUAAUUUUUUGAACGCAAAAAAAAAUAUAUAUAAAUGUUGUUAACGUAUUUUUAAAAAUCAAGAGAAAAUUAUAAUUGUGGAUAAAAAAGUUGAUGUUUACAUAUAAUAAAUAAAUAAGGACCAUAAGUGUUCAUAAAUAUAAAAAAUAGUGUAACGCAUCGUGCCACAUAUAGGAUCUUAAGUUAAUUUUUAAUGUAGUAGAAAAAUGGGACAUUGUUUCAACUGCAUUUCAUUGUAUUAUGAUUCUCUUAAUUAAGAAAUGUAAAAAACAAUCUUACAAAAAUAUGAACUAAUAAACUAAUAAAGAGUUGUUAAUGCCAAUCAAAUUAUAAAAUAAAAUGAUAAUCAUUUUCAUAAAAGUAAAAGAUACAUAAAUAUGAUACUUAACCUUAACUUUCAUCUUCAUGCGCACUUUUCUCCUUCUUUUUUUUUUUUUUAUCUUAAAGGUCACUUUUUCUUACCAAGAACAAAUAAUUCUUAUUUUUAUAAACACGUCAUGAAAAUAAAGUUUAUUUAUAUAAAAUAUAAAAAAAACAUAUAGAUGAAUUGGAAUAAUUUUUUCUAGAUAUUAAAUACAUAAAAGAUAAGUAAAAGAUAUCCAUUAUUUAGAAAAAAACUAAAUAAACAAUCUAAAUAUUUAGAGAGAAAAGUAUUAAUUUAAAUAUAAAUUCAAAAAUUCAUUAAAAAUACAUAAAAAAAUAUCAAUUAAGAAAACAAAAUUAGAAAAAAAAAAUAGAAAUGGAUCAAGUGCUUUUGGGCCUAGUAAGUCGGGCCUACACAUCAAGCCCAUUUUGAAAAGGGUUGGUACGUAUGGGCCUUUUUUAUUUGAAAAAGCUCCAAAUGUUUUUGAAAAAAAAAUAAAGAAAAGCGACAUGUCACCUACCGAGACUUUUCAGUUCUUGACCAUUGGAGAGGUGACUAGAAAAUUAAGCAAGGUGAUUUUUGACCAAAAAAUGCAAAUUUAAACAAAGUUCACACCAAAACACCUAAAAAUGGUCUUUAUGAUGUAAUAAACCAAUAAAACAGCCCAAAAACUAUAAAUGUUUUGGCAAUUUCAAGAGCAAAAAACAUUUCAAUGGAACUCUCUUCAUCAAAUGAAACUCAUUAAAACAAAAAUCAACCAUUUUUUAUGGCGAAAAUCAGUGCCAACUGAGACUGUAAAACCCCGGGUAAUAUUAUUAAUAUUAAUAAAAGUCAAGAUUACGAAAAAUGAGGGAAAGUGAUAAAUUAAAUUAUAAGAAUGAUGAUAUAUUCGAGAAUCUGAAUUGGAAUGUUUUGUUCGGGUGUUAAAAUAUAUAUAAAAAAUAAAUAUAAAUAAAUAAACAUGAAAAUGUGAAUAAAUUUUUUAUGGAAAUGAAUUUCAUGAAACUGAAAGUACUAACGAAUAACUGAGUGAAAUUUGAAAUAAUCUGGAUAAAAUUUGGUAUAAACAAGUGUUAGGAUUCAUGAAAUUUUACCCAAAAAUCAUAAAAUUUACUAUUGAGGAAUAUAGAAGGUAUUUUUAAAAAGUUAAGUAAUUAUAUGUGUGUAUGGGGAAGAAAAAAAUUGAGGGACGUGGAAGGUAUUUAAAAAAAAGAGUUAAUUAUAUAUAUAUAUAUAUAUAUAUAUAUAUAUAUAUAUAUAUAUAUAUAUGAGUGCAAGUGAGUGUGUGCUAUAAGGAAACAAAAAAAAACAAACUUGCUUUUUCAAAGAGAAGGAAGCAAUCGGUCAGGAGAGAAAAAACAAAUUCAAGCAAGGAAAAUUUCUCAAUUUAAAAGUGUUAAAGCUUUGGUUAUUGCUUGGUAAGAUGUCCUCAAACUUUUAAAUAAGAUUCUUGAAGAAUUUAUGCUUUAAAUUGAUUGAACUUUGUGAAAUGAGGAAUUAGGGUUCAUGAUAAAUUUUAGAGAAAAUUACAAUUGAUUGUGAAAUUGUGUUAAGAUUAUUGAAGUGAGUAGAGAAAGUAAGAAAUUAUGGUAAUUAAAGCAAAAUUUUAGGUGUUCUUGAAGAAGGGAUUUUUGGAAAAAUAAUAAUAAUAAAAAUAAAAAUUUAAGAGUUUUGAUAAGAUGAUGCGAUUGUGUAAGAAAGAGAUGAUAUUAAUGUUAAAGAGUGAAUAGAUCAUGAAAUUGUUUUAUGUUUUUCUUUGAUUUAAAUUACGGUAAAAAUUAAAUAAAUGAAUUUAAAGAAUAUAUAUAUUGAUUUGAAUGAUAAAAUGAAUUGUGUUACAAUGUGGAAAUUGGAAGAAUAGGAAGGAAAUUUACAAAAUGAUUUUAUUUUGGCAAAUAAAAGGAUAAUUGGAAUGAUUUUAUUUAUUGAGUGUUUCAAUAUGGAAAGUAGAAUAAUGAUGUGAUAUACUUGUCAAUUCAAGAGAGGCUGCCAGGCCGACACCACAGCAGGAAAUUUCAGCUCGAGCUUAGUCAUCAGGUAAUUACACGGUACUUGAAUUUAUUAUUGGUUAAUAUGUAUUUUUAUUUGAUUAAUUAUGGUUGAUAAAUUAGUAAUUAUUAUAUUGUUUAUUUUAAAAAAUAAGAUAUGCGAUGUGAUGAAUUAAUUCUUGAACUAAUGGGAUUAAUGUCCUAGUGAAUGGGCGUGAUGAGGAAUUAAGUCCUUGGUUAAUGGGUAAAUUGUUGAACUAAUUCCUGAUUUAAUAGAAUUAGUGCCCUGACAAAUUAAUAGGCGAGAUGAAGAAUUAAUUUUCCUGGUUAAUGGGAUUUGUACCCUGAUGAAUGGAUUAAACGUUAAACUAAUUUUUGGAUUGAUGACAAUAGUGCUUGUUGAAUGGACUGGUGGAAAAUUAAUCAUCUAUUAGUGAAAGUAAUGCCGGGUUAAUUGGGCGAUGAGAAUAAUUAUUUUUUUGGUUGAUGUUAAAAAAGAAAAAGAAAACAAACUAAUAGAUUAUUCUGAAAUUUAAUUGAUAUAUAUAAUACUAUAUGAGCAAGUUAAUUUAAUGAUCUUUUGACUAAAUUUUCAAAAAAAAAAAAGGAAGAAAGAAAGAAAGUAAAAAGAAUUUUAUGGAUAUCUUUUCUUCAUCUGUCUAAUCGAAUUAUUGUAUUAAAUUAAUUUUCAGGUACAUCCCCCUAUCGGAUUGAACAGUAGAUUAGUUUUCUUAUAUUUUGUUUGGUAUUUUUUUUUGUAAUGAAUGAAUUUAUCAUUUUGUUAUGUAAUAUAAUGCGUCAACAGUUUAUCGAAAGCUCUUUUGUGUAGUAUAAUCUUAAUUAUGAAUUUCUUCUUUAAUUACGUACUUAUUUCGAUUAUAAUUUCGUUAAUGGUCCUUAUUUGUAAAUUUUUGAAUUGUGUAAUGUACUUCAGUUAUAAUUUGUAGAACAAUUCUUUGGAUUGUAUCCAUGUAAAUGUGGGAUAUUGAAUUGUUUAGACAUGUGUGAAUUUGAUUAUUUAGAAGUUGUGAUGUAAUGAGAGGAGGAAGUCCUGGAUGAUAGGAUGAGUAAGAAAUUUGAUAAUUAGGGAUUGUAGAUGAAAAGUCGAUAACUUGAUACCUAAAAAUAUAGAGAAAACUCUGCCGAAUUUUUUAUUGAUUAAAAAAAAAUCCCUAAUUUUAUUUGAAUCAUCAUGUCCGUGCUCUUUGUUUUAAUACAAAUGUUGAGGCUGCUACAAAGACUCUCUUUAACAUUGAAAUCCAAUGACUUUUUGUCUCCUCUAUCAAAUUUAGGGAUGAGAACAUAGAAAAAUGAAUUUGUGGAUAAAAAAUAAAAUGUAGGAAAACUUAAGGAACCAAAAAGUCAUUAUUUGAAAGUAUAAGAAUCAAAGUGAAUUUUUAACUUCAUCAUGAAACUACCAUCUUUUUUUGCGCUNNNNNNNNNNNNNNNNNNNNNNNNNNNNNNNNNNNNNNNNNNNNNNNNNNNNNNNNNNNNNNNNNNNNNNNNNNNNNNNNNNNNNNNNNNNNNNNNNNNNNNNNNNNNNNNNNNNNNNNNNNNNNNNNNNNNNNNNNNNNNNNNNNNNNNNNNNNNNNNNNNNNNNNNNNNNNNNNNNNNNNNNNNNNNNNNNNNNNNNNNNNNNNNNNNNNNNNNNNNNNNNNNNNNNNNNNNNNNNNNNNNNNNNNNNUUUUAUCCAUCAUAGAAGACUCACACACACAGAAUCUGAUAACUUUAUGAGCUGGACAUCACCCAUGAUGGUAUUAUCCAGCUAUAAAUUGGUCCCAAAUCGAAGCUCAAAUCUCACUGGCUUGCCCUAGAUUUCUCCUUAGAUUAUGUUAUUCUUCACCAACCAAGAUUAUGUUCCAAAUCUGAUAUUACCCUAUUUUUGUCCACCUUUGAAAUUAUUUUCUUUCUUUCUUCAGAGAACAUUUCCAAAAUCUAGAGAGGCCACUUUUUCCAUCUUAUUUCCCUCAUGUAACUUCUCUCCAUAGCCGUCAAAUCAUUAAGCACCACGUGUACCACCAAAAGUUUGUCCACCCAGACUCACUCUAUCAUUGCGCACUGUAAUAUGCGUUAUUUCACAUACUUGCCACUGUAUCACUGCUCACCAAUGGUGGCCCCACAACUGUUCCUCGGUAUCUGCGUCACUCCAAGACAACAACAUAAAAUAUUUCUGACUAGAUUUUCUUGGUGCUCUUUGUUUUUUUUUCUUUUUUUCUUUUCUUGUUUUCACUUCAAAGGAGAAAAAACAAUUAACAAACAGAGUUCGUGAGGGU